UACGAGUGCCCCAAGCGUUAUCCGGAAUUAUUGGGCGUAAAGGGUCAGUAGGCGGUUUUGUUAGUCUUCUGUCAAAUUCUUCGGCUUAACCGGGGGUCCGCAGGGGAAACGGCAAAACUCGAGGAUGCGAGAGGUGAAUGGAACUCAUAGUGUAGGGGUGAAAUCCGUUGAUAUUAUGGGGAACACCAAAAGCGAAGGCAAUUCACUGGCGCACUCCUGACGCUGAAUGACGAAAGCGUGGGUAGCGAAUGGG
Molecule: ribosomal RNA, 253 nt
Filed under: uncultured bacterium
Lineage: Bacteria
Description: partial 16S ribosomal RNA
Rfam family: Bacterial small subunit ribosomal RNA
Source: RNAcentral